RNAcentral lists this ribosomal RNA (579 nucleotides) under Variovorax sp. RDB-196. RNAcentral describes it as "bacterial SSU rRNA". It matches the Rfam family "Bacterial small subunit ribosomal RNA", at positions 102 to 677 of the family's 1533-position model. The record is from RNAcentral. Lineage: Bacteria; Pseudomonadati; Pseudomonadota; Betaproteobacteria; Burkholderiales; Comamonadaceae.
ACGGGUGAGUAAUACAUCGGAACGUGCCCAAUCGUGGGGGAUAACGCAGCGAAAGCUGUGCUAAUACCGCAUACGAUCUACGGAUGAAAGCAGGGGAUCGCAAGACCUUGCGCGAAUGGAGCGGCCGAUGGCAGAUUAGGUAGUUGGUGAGGUAAAGGCUCACCAAGCCUUCGAUCUGUAGCUGGUCUGAGAGGACGACCAGCCACACUGGGACUGAGACACGGCCCAGACUCCUACGGGAGGCAGCAGUGGGGAAUUUUGGACAAUGGGCGAAAGCCUGAUCCAGCCAUGCCGCGUGCAGGAUGAAGGCCUUCGGGUUGUAAACUGCUUUUGUACGGAACGAAACGGUCUUUUCUAAUAAAGAAGGCUAAUGACGGUACCGUAAGAAUAAGCACCGGCUAACUACGUGCCAGCAGCCGCGGUAAUACGUAGGGUGCAAGCGUUAAUCGGAAUUACUGGGCGUAAAGCGUGCGCAGGCGGUGAUGUAAGACAGUUGUGAAAUCCCCGGGCUCAACCUGGGAACUGCAUCUGUGACUGCAUCGCUGGAGUACGGCAGAGGGGGAUGGAAUUCCGCGUGUA